RNAcentral lists this unclassified non-coding RNA (200 nucleotides) under soil metagenome. RNAcentral's name for it is "partial contains internal transcribed spacer 2 and large subunit ribosomal RNA". The record is from RNAcentral.
UCGAGCGUCAUUUCAACCCUCAAGCCCAGCUUGGUAUUGGGUGUCACCUAGUAAUGGUGCACCUUAAAAUCAGUGGCGGUGCAUCUGGCUUCAAGCGUAGUAAUACUUCUCGCUCUGGUGGCCCAGGUGUCUGCCUGCCAAAACCCCCAUAAUUUCUCAUGGUUGACCUCGGAUCAGGUAGGGAUACCCGCUGAACUUAA